CCUACGGGAGGCAGCAGUGGGGAAUUUUGGACAAUGGACGCAAGUCUGAUCCAGCCAUUCCGCGUGCAGGACGAAGGCCUUCGGGUUGUAAACUGCUUUUGUACAGAACGAAAAGGUUUCUCUUAAUACGAGGGGCUCGUGACGGUACUGUAAGAAUAAGCACCGGCUAACUACGUGCCAGCAGCCGCGGUAAUACGUAGGGUGCAAGCGUUAAUCGGAAUUACUGGGCGUAAAGCGUGCGCAGGCGGUUAUAUAAGACAGAUGUGAAAUCCCCGGGCUCAACCUGGGAACUGCAUUUGUGACUGUAUAGCUGGAGUACGGUAGAGGGGGAUGGAAUUCCGCGUGUAGCAGUGAAAUGCGUAGAUAUGCGGAGGAACACCGAUGGCGAAGGCAAUCCCCUGGACCUGUACUGACGCUCAUGCACGAAAGCGUGGGGAGCAAACAGGAUUAGAUACCCUGGUAGUCCACGCCCUAAACGAUGUCAACUGGUUGUUGGGUCUUCACUGACUCAGUAACGAAGCUAACGCGUGAAGUUGACCGCCUGGGGAGUACGGCCGCAAGGUUGAAACUUAAAUGAAUUGACGGCUGAGAGNGCGACGACGACGACGAGGGAGGAGG
This 618-nucleotide ribosomal RNA is filed under the name uncultured bacterium. Its description in RNAcentral is "bacterial SSU rRNA". It matches the Rfam family "Bacterial small subunit ribosomal RNA", at positions 338 to 951 of the family's 1533-position model. The record is from RNAcentral.